RNAcentral lists this long non-coding RNA (452 nucleotides) under Androctonus crassicauda. The record is from RNAcentral. Lineage: Eukaryota; Metazoa; Arthropoda; Arachnida; Scorpiones; Buthidae.
AAAUUCUCUAUCUGUCUAGAAGCAGAUUCCACAGUAUUAUUGCAUAAAUAAAAAUUUUGUAAAAGAUCAUUUGAUAGUUUCAAUAAUAUGAUUAUCAUCAGCAAAACUUUGUCAAAAUUUAAAAGUUUUGUUGCAGAAGAUCGGUGUUACAAUAAACAACAUAAGAAGCAUGGGAAUUAUUUCAUAUCGAGUGACCUAGAGUUUCUGUUUGACUCAUCAAUUUUGCUAAAAUUUAAUGGGAAUAUGCAUAUAGGUUUCAGGGGAAACUGUGCAAAAUUUCAGUUCAAGAAAUGGUGUGGUUAAGACAACAAGGUUCUUUCUUAUGGAGAUCACUUGUGUAACCUGAAUUCAAUCAUGAAUAAUGUUCAAAGUUUCAAAUAUGAUUGUUGCAUAACAAUAACACUUAGUACUUUGAAUCUUUGCAAGCUUGUUUAAUUUUUUGUGUUACAUCC